GUGGGGAAUCUUGCCCAAUGGGCGCAAGCCUGAGGCAGCAACGCCGCGUGCGGGAAGAAGGCCCUAGGGUUGUAAACCGCUUUCGCCAGGGACGAAAAUGACGGUACCUGGAGAAGAAGGUGCGGCCAACUACGUGCCAGCAGCCGCGGUGACACGUAGGCACCAAGCGUUGUCCGGAUUUAUUGGGCGUAAAGAGCUCGUAGGCGGUUCGGUUAGUCGGGUGUGAAAUCCUUGGGCUUAACCCAAGAACUGCACCCGAUACUGCUGUGACUCGAGUCCGGUAGAGGAGUGUGGAAUUCCUGGUGUAGCGGUGGAAUGCGCAGAUAUCAGGAGGAACACCAACGGCGAAGGCAGCACUCUGGGCCGGUACUGACGCUGAGGAGCGAAAGCGUGGGGAGCGAACAGGAUUAGAAACCCUAGUAGUCC
This 426-nucleotide ribosomal RNA is filed under the name uncultured bacterium. RNAcentral's name for it is "bacterial SSU rRNA". It matches the Rfam family "Bacterial small subunit ribosomal RNA", at positions 354 to 796 of the family's 1533-position model. The record is from RNAcentral.